AACGAACGCUGGCGGCGCGUUUAAGCAUGCAAGUCGAGCGGCAAGGGCCUUCGGGCCCUAGAGCGGCGGACGGUGAGUAACACGUGGACAAUCUGCCCCCCGCCCGGGAUAGGCCCAGGGAAACCUGGACUUAAUACCGCAUAAGACCACGGUACCGCAUGGUACAGGGGUAAAAACGAAUCAGUGGUGAAGGAUGAGCUUAUGUCCCAUUAGCUAGUUGGUGAGAUAACAGCCCACCAAGGCGACGAUGGGUAGCCGACCUGAGAGGGUGAUCGGCCACACUGGAACUGAGACACGGUCCAGACUCCUACGGGAGGCAGCAGUGGGGAAUAUUGGGCAAUGGAGGAAAAAACCUCUUACCCAGCAAUGCCGCGUGAGUGAAGAAGGUCUUCGGAUUGUAAAGCUCUUUGAUUGGGGACGAAGAAAGUGACGGUACCCAAAGAACAAGCCCCGGCUAACUACGUGCCAGCAGCGGC
Molecule: ribosomal RNA, 476 nt
Filed under: uncultured bacterium
Lineage: Bacteria
Description: bacterial SSU rRNA
Rfam family: Bacterial small subunit ribosomal RNA
Source: RNAcentral